Molecule: ribosomal RNA, 472 nt
Filed under: uncultured bacterium
Lineage: Bacteria
Description: bacterial SSU rRNA
Rfam family: Bacterial small subunit ribosomal RNA
Source: RNAcentral
GGACGAACGCUGGCGGCGUGCUUAACACAUGCAAGUCGAGCGGAGAAUAUAGCAAUAUAUUCUUAGCGGCGGACGGGUGAGUAACGCGUGGGCAAUCUGCCUCAUACAGGGGGAUAACACUGGGAAACUAGUGCUAAUACCGCAUAAAAUAGUGAAGUGGCAUCACUUUACUAUCAAAGGAGCAAUCCGGUGUGAGAUGAGCCCGCGUCCGAUUAGCUAGUUGGAGGGUAACGGCCCACCAAGGCGACGAUCGGUAGCCGAACUGAGAGGUUGAUCGGCCACAUUGGGACUGAGACACGGCCCAGACUCCUACGGGAGGCAGCAGUGGGGAAUAUUGCGCAAAGUGGGGGAAACCCUGACGCAGCAACGCCGCGUGAAGGAUGAAGGUUUUCGGAUUGUAAACUUCUUUGAUUGGGGACGAUAAUGACGGUACCCAAAAACAAGCCACGGCUAACUACGUGCCAGCCGCUGC